GUUCCCUCAAAAUCGUCCAUGUCAAGUGACCAAACCAUGAGUCCACCAAGACCUUUAGCAUCGGCAUAAGAAACUUUCUCCUUCAACGAAUCUUCACUUUCAAACGAAACCAGUGAACGUUUCAUUCGAUUCCAUAAGAAACUUGUCCUUGUUUUAUUGUGCCAAACGGGUUCACCUUUGGUCAACCAUUCUUGAGUCAAUUUACGAUAACUGACCAUUGAGCCCUUCGAUCCAUCUUUGACUGGACUUGCUUUACGGAAAAGGUCAUCUUUAGUUUCAUCAACAUGAUUACCCACAUUGGUCCAAGCUCGUCCAAAGAAACCAAGUCCAAGAACCAACUUAUCAGGUCGACCCGUUUCACAAACAUACCUUUUAACGAUUGCAUCGAUAUUCAAUUUACCUGGAAAACCAUCAGGUGACCCAAAGUACAAAGGUGCCAUUGGUCCGGUAUAAUCGCCCCAAGAUGAAUUCCAUGGUCCAUGGAAAUCAAAGGCCAUAAUAUUAAUCCAAUCGACAUGAUUAAUCAAAGUCUUAAGAUCAUAACCAUAAUCUAAGAUCCAAUAUAAUCCUGGUCCAGUUAGGACAAGUGAAUAAGGCUCUGAUCGUCCGUUUCCACUUUGAUGGUCAAUCAUUGAAUCUUUAAUGUUUUGCAUCAAACGAUUAAGAUUAUCCUUAUCCUCCUUUGAUCCUUUAACUUUACCACCAAUGUUUGGAUAUUGCCAAACAAUAUCGACCCCGUCAAACUCCCAGUAAUCAAGAAAAGCGAUUAUGUCCAUGAUGAACGUUUUCUGGACAUUCGGUGAUCUACUAAUCUUUGUGAACCAUUGAGAGUUUGACCAGCCCCCUAAAGCGAUCAGAAUCUUAAUAUCUGGAUUAUCGUUUUUCAAUGA
This 890-nucleotide unclassified non-coding RNA is filed under the name Panonychus citri (citrus red mite). Lineage: Eukaryota; Metazoa; Arthropoda; Arachnida; Trombidiformes; Tetranychidae. The record is from RNAcentral.